AGAGUUUGAUCAUGGCUCAGAACGUACGCUGGCGGCACGCCUAACACAUGCAAGUCGAACGAAGUAGCAAUACUUAGUGGCAGACGGGUGAGUAACAUGUAGGUAUCUGCCCUUUGGCCUGGAAUAACACGAGGAAACUUGUGCUAAUACCGGAUAAGUCUUUACGGAGAAAGCUUUAUGCACCAUUGGAUGAGCCCGCACUUGAUUAGUUUGUUGGUAGGGUAAUGGCCUACCAAGACUAUGAUCAAUAGCUGAUUUGAGAGGAUGAUCAGCCACAUUGGGACUGAGACACGGCCCAAACUCCUACGGGAGGCAGCAGUGGGGAAUCUUGCACAAUGGAGGAAACUCUGAUGCAGCGAUGCCGCGUGAGUGAAGAAGGCCUUUGGGUUGUAAAGCUCUUUCGUCGGGGAAGAAAAUGACUGUACCCGAAUAAGAAGGUCCGGCUAACUUCGUGCCAGCAGCCGCGGUAAUACGAAGGGACCUAGCGUAGUUCGGAAUUACUGGGCUUAAAGAGUUCGUAGGUGGUUGAAAAAGUUGGUGGUGAAAUCCCAGAGCUUAACUCUGGAACUGCCAUCAAAACUUUUCAGCUAGAGUAUGAUAGAGGAAAGCAGAAUUUCUAGUGUAGAGGUGAAAUUCGUAGAUAUUAGAAAGAAUACCAACUGCGAAGGCAGCUUUCUGGAUCAUUACUGACACUGAGGAACGAAAGCAUGGGUAGCGAAGAGGAUUAGAUACCCUCGUAGUCCAUGCCGUAAACGAUGUGUGUUAGACGUUGGAAAUUUAUUUUCAGUGUCGCAGGGAAACCGAUAAACACACCGCCUGGGGAGUACGACCGCAAGGUUAAAACUCAAAUGAAUUGACGGGGACCCGCACAAGUAGUGGAGCAUGUGGUUUAAUUCGAAGAUACGCGCAGAACCUUACCAACACUUGACAUGUUCGUCGCGACUCUAAGAGAUUAGAGUUUUCGGUUCGGCCGGACGAAACACAGGUGCUGCAUGGCUGUCGUCAGCUCGUGUCGUGAGAUGUUGGGUUAAGUCCCGCAACGAGCGCAACCCUCACUUUUAGUUGCCAUCAUUAAGUUGGGCACUCUGAAAGAACUGCCAGUGAUAAGCUGGAGGAAGGUGGGGAUGACGUCAAGUCCUCAUGGCCCUUACGUGUUGGGCUACACACGUGCUACAAUGGCAUCUACAACAGGAAGCAAAACGGCAACGUUAAGCAAAUCCCGAAAAGAUGCCUCAGUUCGGAUUGCACUCUGCAACUCGAGUGCAUGAAGCUGGAAUUACUAGUAAUCGUGGAUCAGCGUGCCACGGUGAAUGCGUUCCCGGGUCUUGUACACACCGCCCGUCACACCAUGGGAGUUGGUUCUACCUUAAGGCAAGGUUUUAAACCCUUGACCACGGUAUAGUCAGCGACUGGGGUGAAGUCGUAACAAGGUAACCGUA
RNAcentral lists this ribosomal RNA (1439 nucleotides) under uncultured bacterium. RNAcentral describes it as "bacterial SSU rRNA". It matches the Rfam family "Bacterial small subunit ribosomal RNA". The record is from RNAcentral.